Molecule: transfer RNA, 81 nt
Filed under: Clostridiales bacterium
Lineage: Bacteria; Bacillati; Bacillota; Clostridia; Eubacteriales
Description: tRNA-Gly
Rfam family: tRNA
About the family: Transfer RNA (tRNA) molecules are approximately 80 nucleotides in length. Their secondary structure includes four short double-helical elements and three loops (D, anti-codon, and T loops).
Source: RNAcentral
GCUGUGAUGGAAUCGGAAGACAUGUUGAGUUGCCAACUCAAUGAGCUUACGCUCGUGCGGGUUCGAUCCCCGUCAGCCCCA